Molecule: ribosomal RNA, 448 nt
Filed under: uncultured Planctomycetota bacterium
Lineage: Bacteria; Pseudomonadati; Planctomycetota
Description: bacterial SSU rRNA
Rfam family: Bacterial small subunit ribosomal RNA
Source: RNAcentral
AAGUUGGUUAGCUUGCUAACCGACGGACAGCGGCGGAAGGGAGAGUAACGCGUGGUUAUGUGCCCUGAAGACCGGGAUAGUGUUGGGAAACUGGCAGUAAUACCGGAUAAUAUCUUUGGAUCAAAGGUGUGAUUCCGCUUCAGGAUCGGACCGCGUACUAUUAGCUUGUUGGCGGGGUAAUGGCCCACCAAGGCUCAGAUGGUUACCGGGUGUGAGAGCAUGACCCGGCUCACUGGGACUGAGACACUGCCCAGACAUCUACGGAUGGCUGCAGUCGAGAAUCUUCGGCAAUGGACGAAAGUCUGACCGAGCGACGCCGCGUGCGGGAUGAAGGCCCUCGGGUUGUAAACCGCUGUCAGUUAGGAGGAAAUCUAUGAGAGCACUCUCUCAUAGUUGACCGAUUUUCAGAGGAAGGACGGGCUAAGUUCGUGCCAGCAGCCGCGGUAAG